This is an RNA transcript of Carassius gibelio (silver crucian carp), 593 nucleotides long. It is a transcript of the gene named DNA annealing helicase and endonuclease ZRANB3-like, with no coding region annotated. The transcript is spliced from 2 exons. NCBI's taxonomy places the organism in Eukaryota, Metazoa, Chordata, Actinopteri, Cypriniformes, Cyprinidae. The record is from RefSeq and is a predicted model, not a curated record.
AAUCAUACGCCUAAACUCUUCUGAAACCUCAACAACCCUUCCAAUAAACCCAAACCUUACAGUACUAGAUCCACCCUAGCAUCGGAGUGCAAGAGAAGUCAGCCAGCCCUCAUUUAAGCUUUAUCUCUCUCUCCGAAUGCCAUCAGAGUAACAGCCAUCUGCAGCGAGUUUCCCCUCCUCUAACGAUGAGGGACAGCGUGAAACCGCCGCUAACGACCACCAUGGCAACCGGCCCUUCUGUUCUCCACAUCAAACCACCGCCGCAUUGCCAUGGGAACCAGCUCCCGCCGUCCUGCGACCUUAACUCUGACCUUUCUGAUCGGCCGACAUCUUUCCUCGCGGAUCUCGCGCUUAACAAGGUGUUUUUAUGAGCUCCAGACGAGACCUGCCGCGGCUUCUGUGGCUUUUUGCAUCACUCUCACCAACUUUAACAUCACGGUUCAGAGAGAAAAUAGAGCGACAUUGCACAGGCCGGAGCUGUGAAGGACUAUAUAAAGAUGAUGUUGGAGACCGAACAGCUGAAGUUUCUGGUCUUUGCUCAUCAUCUCAGUAUGCUGCAGGCGUGUACCGAGGCUGUCAUCGAGGCCAAGGUG